AGCAUAUUAGUAAGCGGAGGAAAAGAAACUAAACAAGGAUUCCCUUAGUAGCUGCGAGCGAACAGGRAAGAGCCCAGCGCUGAAUCUCAAAGGCUUCGCCUUUCGUGAAAUGUAGCGUUUAGGAGGGUCCGAUUCCCCCAGAGUUUCGUACACCUAGUCAAAGUCCAUCUUGAACGGGGCCACAGUCCGUAKAAGGUGCUAGGCCCGUGGAGACAGGUGUCGGCUUUGGGUGGGCCUCUCCUUAGAGUCAGGUUGCUUGAGAGUGCAGCCCUAAGCAGGUGUAAACUCCAUCUAAGGCUAAAUACGACCAUCGAGAC
RNAcentral lists this ribosomal RNA (317 nucleotides) under Epicyliosoma sp. EBU39281. Its description in RNAcentral is "eukaryotic LSU rRNA". It matches the Rfam family "Eukaryotic large subunit ribosomal RNA", at positions 37 to 334 of the family's 3401-position model. The record is from RNAcentral. Lineage: Eukaryota; Metazoa; Arthropoda; Diplopoda; Sphaerotheriida; Sphaerotheriidae.